AAAGUCGUAACAAGGUCUCCGUAGGUGAACCUGCGGAGGGAUCAUUACAGAGAAACUCGCCCGCAAGGGUGACUCUCCAACCCUAUGUUAAUUAUACCUUUGUUGCUUUGGCGAGCCGCUUCGGCCACCGGCUUCACGCUGGUGAGUGCUCGCCAGAGGACCCUAAACUCUUGUUUAAUAAUGUCGUCUGAGUACUAUAUAAUAGUUAAAACUUUCAACAACGGAUCUCUUGGUUCUG
Molecule: unclassified non-coding RNA, 238 nt
Filed under: Ascomycota sp.
Lineage: Eukaryota; Fungi; Ascomycota
Description: partial contains small subunit ribosomal RNA, internal transcribed spacer 1, and 5.8S ribosomal RNA
Rfam family: Eukaryotic small subunit ribosomal RNA (bases 1-47)
Source: RNAcentral